This 1484-nucleotide ribosomal RNA is filed under the name metagenome. RNAcentral describes it as "bacterial SSU rRNA". It matches the Rfam family "Bacterial small subunit ribosomal RNA". The record is from RNAcentral.
AGAGUUUGAUCCUGGCUCAGGAUGAACGCUGGCGGCGUGCUUAACACAUGCAAGUCGAACGGGAAUGCCUCGCUGAUGCGAUUUCGGUCAAAUCUUGAAGCAUUUUAGUGGCGGACGGGUGAGUAACGCGUGGGUAACCUGCCCUGUACAGGGGGACAACAGUUGGAAACGACUGCUAAUACCGCAUAAGCGCACAGCUCCGCAUGAAGCAGUGUGAAAAACUCCGGUGGUACAGGAUGGACCCGCGUCUGAUUAGAUAGUUGGUGAGGUAACGGCCCACCAAGUCAACGAUCAGUAGCCGGCCUGAGAGGGCGAACGGCCACAUUGGGACUGAGACACGGCCCAAACUCCUACGGGAGGCAGCAGUGGGGAAUAUUGCGCAAUGGGGGAAACCCUGAUGCAGCGACGCCGCGUGGAGGAAGAAGGUCUUCGGAUUGUAAACUCCUGUUGUUGAGGAAGAUAAUGACGGUACUCAACAAGGAAGUGACGGCUAACUACGUGCCAGCAGCCGCGGUAAAACGUAGGUCACAAGCGUUGUCCGGAAUUACUGGGUGUAAAGGGAGCGCAGGCGGGCGAUCAAGUUGGAAGUGAAAUCCAUGGGCUCAACCCAUGAACUGCUUUCAAAACUGAUUGUCUUGAGUAGUGCAGAGGUAGGCGGAAUUCCCGGUGUAGCGGUGGAAUGCGUAGAUAUCGGGAGGAACACCAGUGGCGAAGGCGGCCUACUGGGCACCAACUGACGCUGAGGCUCGAAAGUGUGGGUAGCAAACAGGAUUAGAUACCCUGGUAGUCCACACCGUAAACGAUGAUUACUAGGUGUUGGAGGAUUGACCCCUUCAGUGCCGCAGUUAACACAAUAAGUAAUCCACCUGGGGAGUACGACCGCAAGGUUGAAACUCAAAGGAAUUGACGGGGGCCCGCACAAGCAGUGGAGUAUGUGGUUUAAUUCGACGCAACGCGAAGAACCUUACCAAGUCUUGACAUCCUGCGACGAUGCUAGAAAUAGUAUUUUCCUUCGGGACGCAGAGACAGGUGGUGCAUGGUUGUCGUCAGCUCGUGUCGUGAGAUGUUGGGUUAAGUCCCGCAACGAGCGCAACCCUUAUGGUCAGUUACUACGCAAGAGGACUCUGGCCAGACUGCCGUUGACAAAACGGAGGAAGGUGGGGAUGACGUCAAAUCAUCAUGCCCUUUAUGACUUGGGCUACACACGUACUACAAUGGCGUUAAACAAAGAGAAGCAAGACCGCGAGGUGGAGCAAAACUCAGAAACAACGUCCCAGUUCGGACUGCAGGCUGCAACUCGCCUGCACGAAGUCGGAAUUGCUAGUAAUCGUGGAUCAGCAUGCCACGGUGAAUACGUUCCCGGGCCUUGUACACACCGCCCGUCACACCAUGAGAGCCGGGGGGACCCGAAGUCGGUAGUCUAACCGCAAGGAGGACGCCGCCGAAGGUAAAACUGGUGAUUGGGGUGAAGUCGUAACAAGGUA